AGGGUUGUAGCUUAAUGGUAGAGCGCUUGCCUCACAUGUGUGAGGGCCCUGGGUUCGGUCCCCAGCACCACAU
Molecule: transfer RNA, 73 nt
Filed under: Urocitellus parryii (Arctic ground squirrel)
Lineage: Eukaryota; Metazoa; Chordata; Mammalia; Rodentia; Sciuridae
Also listed under: 2 other names
Description: Spermophilus parryii (Arctic ground squirrel) tRNA
Rfam family: tRNA
About the family: Transfer RNA (tRNA) molecules are approximately 80 nucleotides in length. Their secondary structure includes four short double-helical elements and three loops (D, anti-codon, and T loops).
Source: Rfam by way of RNAcentral